CUUUCUUUCUUUCUUUCUUUCUUUCUUUCUUUCUUUCUUUCUUUCUUUCUUAAAAUUAUUUUUUAGUCCUUUGGGUGGGUAACUGCAAGUAUAACACCUCCAUAUAAUUUUAAUUGUGUUCCUGAUUUGAUAAUUUAAUUCCUGAUUUUUUUCUUUUCUUGUUAUACAGUGUCUUUUUGGCCAAUGUUCUAAUGCCAACAGAAAUAAAGUUGGAGAGAGGGAACAACAUUGUCUUGAACCCUUCAUUACACUACAUGUUUGUGACAGAAGUCCAUUUACAAUGUUUAUAGCUGUAGUAUUCUCUCAGCUUAUCCUAUCUGGAUCAGUUUCGUGGUAUUGGCUCCAGUGAUUGUGUUUGGAUGCACCCAAUGCAAUAAGAAACAUAAAGCAAUACGAAAGAGAAACAAUGAUGUGGAGAAAGGGUUAAGCGAAGGACCUUUACUGGGAGAAAAUCAGCAACCAAAAGAAGAAAAUGUUUCAGAAAAGCUGAAAGAAGAAAAUGAUAUCAGGCAUUUUCCACUGAAAAAUACAUUCUGCUUCCAUUUCAGAGCAACUACAAGAAGAAAAUGGUAAGUCUACAAAAGCUGUUCUAUCAAGCACUAUAAAUAUUUUAAAGGACCUCAGGUUCUCCAUUCCAUAUGGACAUUUUUUUUUUUAAGGGCCAGUUUCAGGCAGCUCUUCCGGCAUUUGAGGAGCAAUUGGGGGACUUUGAGAUCUGGUUUGACAUAGGCACAAAGGCCACCUCGGUGGUACUGGGCCAUUGGUCAUCUCUCAGCCCUGGCUUCUUUCCCACUUUGUCGUAUUAAAAGAGGUCCCAGUUGUAAUGAAAGUGAGGGCUUGGAACACUGAUAGGUGUUCAUUUAUCAAGUGCCAUGCCACCUGAGGACGGAAUUGGCAGGAACACAAAUGCUAGUUUAUUUCCAAAGCAGAUUUUCUGUCUUGGAAUUUCUCCUCAGUCCUGUAUGUGUGGGGACUGGUGAUAUCUUCAUUCAUUCCUUCACUAGUAUCUCUCCCAGCGGGAGAGCAGAUCCAGCUGCACAUUGAGUUGAGUCUGGUCACAUGACAGUAUGAUUGGGGGUUUGGCUUCAUGCUCAGAUCCUCCUUUCCCUAUCUUUACCUUUCUUUCAAAUGAAAAGCAACCCUUUUUGUGGUUUACCGUUGCAAAGACGUGUGAUGAAUGGAGGAGACAUGUGAUUUGACCACCUCAUGUUCUCUCUAGUCUGCCAUGAAGGCUGCUGUCAGGACUGAGUUAUUGGUUCCAAAGGGAUAAAGAGAGAGGAUCUUGGCAGUGACCAGUAGGAGAAGUUCUCAAAUGCCAGCAACUUUUUUUUUUUUUUACUUGUAAAUAGAAAUGGAGGUUUUCUUUCCAGCAUGAAACCAAACGAACAGGACAAGGCAGCUUCUCUGCUGAGCAAAUGAACUACAGUUGACUGAGACCGUUCUUUGUUCUCUGCUCACCUGUUGGUCAGAAGGAACAUGUACAGAUUGACGCUUAGUUCACUAAGAGCACUGGACUUCCAAACAUAAACAAACCCAUGAGUGUCAAGUCCAGGUAUCCUGAGACUUCUAGUACCCAAAAGAAUAGAACAGCCAACCCCUACGCCAUUUGACCUGUAAAAUGAGAUCUUUGGCACAAUGGGAAGGUUGUUUGUCUGGAAAUGCCCCAAUUUGUGUUUUCUAAGCCUCGCCUCUAUUUUCAAACGUUAAUUUAUUCUUGUCUCCAGCAAAACCUUCUGCUUCAAUUUCAGGACAAUUAAAAAAAGAAAAUAUUAAGUGUUACAUAACUUUUUUAAUCUAGUACUGUAAAUAGUAUAAAGGAACUCCAGUUAUGCAUUCCCUGUGCAUUUGUUUCCUUUCUUCUUCUUCUUCUUUUUUUUAAAGAGCCAGUUUGAAGUAGCUCUUAUAGCAUUUGAUGAACAAUUCUGGAAUUUUCAGUUCUGGUUUGAGAGAGGCACCAAAGCCACCUCGGUGAUACUGGGCAAUUGUUCAUCUCUCAGCCCUAGCUGACUUCCUUCUUUCCCACUUUGUCGUAUUAAAAGAGGUCAGUUGUAAUGAAAGUGAGGGCUUGGAACACUGAUGGGUGUUCAUUUGUGAAGUGCCAUGCUACCUGAGGAUGGAAGUGGCAGGAACAAUUAUGCUGGGUAAUUUCCUUUAUGAUUUUCUGUUUUGAAUUUCUCCUCAGUCCUGUAUGUGUGUGGACUGGUGAUAUCUUCAUUCAUUCCCUCACUACUAUCACUCUGGGCAGGAGAAGAGAUCCAGCUGCACAUUGAGUUGAGUCUUCCCGCUAUUCACAUGACAGUAUGAUUGGGGGUUUGGCUUCAUGCUCGCUUCUUCCUUUCCAUAUCUUCACCUUUCUUUCAAACAAAAAGCUACCUUUGGAGGAUUGACUGCUGAAGUUGCAUUGAAUUGUUCUACAGUUUACUGUUGCAAAGACGUGUGACCAAAGGAGAAGACAUCUGAUUUGACCACCUCAUGUUCUGCUUACUCUGCCAUGAUGGCUGCUCUCAGCCCUGGCUCCAAAUGCAUAAAGAGAGAGGAUCUUGGCAGUCACCAGUAGGAGAAGUUCUCAAAUGCCAGCAACUUUUUUUUUUUUA
Python bivittatus (Burmese python) is the source of this 2594-nucleotide non-coding RNA. The record is from RefSeq and is a predicted model, not a curated record. NCBI's taxonomy places the organism in Eukaryota, Metazoa, Chordata, Lepidosauria, Squamata, Pythonidae.